CAGCCGCCACGGGAAUACGAAGGGGGCUAGCGUUGUUCGGAUUUACUGGGCGUAAAGGGCGCGUAGGCGGACUGAUAAGUUAGGGGUGAAAUCCCAAGGCUCAACCUUGGAACUGCCUUUGAUACUGUUUGUCUUGAGUUCGAGAGAGGUAAGUGGAACUGCGAGUGUAGAGGUGAAAUUCGUAGAUAUUCGCAAGAACACCAGUGGCGAAGGCGGCUUACUGGCUCGAAACUGACGCUGAGGCGCGAAAGCGUGGGGAGCAAACAGGAUUAGAGACCCCCGUAGUCCCUGUCUCUUAUAC
This 301-nucleotide ribosomal RNA is filed under the name uncultured bacterium. RNAcentral describes it as "partial 16S ribosomal RNA". It matches the Rfam family "Bacterial small subunit ribosomal RNA", at positions 509 to 807 of the family's 1533-position model. The record is from RNAcentral.